Molecule: ribosomal RNA, 511 nt
Filed under: Theodoxus meridionalis
Lineage: Eukaryota; Metazoa; Mollusca; Gastropoda; Cycloneritida; Neritidae
Also listed under: 1 other name
Description: partial large subunit ribosomal RNA
Rfam family: Bacterial large subunit ribosomal RNA
Source: RNAcentral
GUCUCUUAGAAAUUAUUAAGAGUCAGGCCUGCCCAGUGAUUGCUUUAUUUAACGGCCGCGGUACCCUGACCGUGCAAAGGUAGCAUAAUCAUUUGCCUUUUAAUUGGAGGCUGGUAUGAAUGGUUCGACGAGAGUAAAGCUGUCUCAUACACAUUAACUAGAAACUAAUUUAAAGGUGCAAAAGCCUUUAUAAAACAAAAAGACGAGAAGACCCUAUUGAGCUUUAAUUUUAAUGUGCACUAACUUUAUAUUUAUAUAACUAUUUGCUCAAUAAAAAUUUUAAUUGGGGCGAUUAAGGAACACAAUGAAGCUUCCUGAUUUUAAUAUUAAAUGUUUAUAAAUUAAAUCGAUCCAGCAAUGCUGAUCAACAAAAUGAGUUACCAUAGGGAUAACAGCAUAAUUCUUUUUCAGAGCUCAUAUCGAAAAAAGAGAUUGUGACCUCGAUGUUGGACUAGGGUAACGGGAAGGUGUAGCAGCUUUCUUGUUUGGUCUGUUCGACCAAUAAUUCCCU